CAGCUAGCUGGUGGAGUAACGGUUCACCAGGGCGACGAUCGGUAGCUGGUCUGAGAGGACGAUCAGCCACACUGGGAUUGAGAACGGCCCAGACUCCUACGGGGGGCAGCAGUGAGGAAUUUUCGUCAAUGGGGGCAACCCUGAACGAGCAACGCCGCGUGCAGGAAGAAGGUUUUCGGAUCGUAAACUGCUUUUCUCGGGGAAGAGAACGGACGGUACCCGAGGAAUCAGCCCCGGCUAACUACGUGCCAGCAGCCGCGGUAAUACGUAGGGGGCAAGCGUUGUCCGGAGUUACUGGGCGUAAAGCGCACGCAGGCGGUUCUCUCAGUUCCUGGUGACAGUCGUCGGCUUCACUGACGAAGGAGUGGGAAGACGGGAGAACUUGAGGGCUUCAGAGGGACACGGAAUUCCGGGUGGAGUGGUGAAAUGCGUAGAUAUCCGGAGGAACACCAACAGCGAAGGCAGUGUCCUGGGAAGCUCCUGACGCUCAGGUGCGAAAGCCAGGGGAGCGAACGGGAUUAGAUACCCCGGUAGUCCUGGCCGUAAACGAUGACCACUA
Molecule: ribosomal RNA, 559 nt
Filed under: uncultured bacterium
Lineage: Bacteria
Description: SSU rRNA
Rfam family: Bacterial small subunit ribosomal RNA
Source: RNAcentral